Molecule: long non-coding RNA, 1227 nt
Organism: Nannospalax galili (Upper Galilee mountains blind mole rat)
Lineage: Eukaryota; Metazoa; Chordata; Mammalia; Rodentia; Spalacidae
Exons: 3
Source: RefSeq, a predicted model, not a curated record
GGAAGUGUGGAGAUUCGAGGUUCCAGAGCACUGUGACUUUCUCAAGCCCUCUGCACGCCUUUUAUCUGCAUUUGUCUCUUCCUCCGGGCAGGAAACUCAAGCUUGCCGAUGCUCGGGAAAUUCCCUGAACUUGGGAAAAAUUCGUCUUGGACCCCACCUACUAUGCCCAUAAGAAGCUCAGACAAUGUGCGAGACCACACAGGGAGACCUGAUAGCUCUAGUUGAGCUUCCAGCUGAAGCCAGCCCUGAUUAUUAGCCCUUGUUCAGCCUAGAGAGUCUAAUUUGUGUCCCCAAAUGUCCUUCAGCAACUGGAGCCUGGUUAGCCUACCAAAAAUUACACCUGUGAAAGAGACUGAUUCUCCUUCUCCUAGCAGCUUGUUGCUUCCAGUAGUACGUCAGGUCGGGUUGGGGUUUCUUCCCCACUUCCCCACAUCUGGUUGCUGAGUUUUAUACUGCCCAGUAAAAAGGAGCCUGAGAUAUUCACAGUCUUUCCUUGCAGUGCACUGGGCUCAUCUCCUUACAGAUUGAAAAACCCUGCAUGACAGUCUCAGAAAGCCAAAGUACCAGGAACCUAAGAAUGUUAUUAUUCCUUCAACUCCAUAAACCUAUUUAUGUGUGCUUGCCUUUAAGAACUAGCACAAAGCCUCUGUGAGUUAUAGGCCUGGAUAAUAUUUUAGCAGUGGAAGGGAACCCUUUUCACCCAAAUUAGAAGGGAACCCUUUUGUCAGAGGGAAAGCAAACACUUAGGAAGCCAGUGAACAUGGAAGAACUCAGCCACUCUCUAAUUGGAUUUAAGGUCUGCUUCAUAGCAUGGCACCAGUACCUGACACUGGUAUCAGGCCUAGGAAUCUGAGGCUAGACCGGUCACAGGCCAUAAGGGAGGGCCUAAUACUAGUUUUCUGGUAAGUAGAUAUCCUAUUAGACUGACUUCUAAUUAUUUAUUGUUCUACCCAUAGAUUAAUACAUCUCUCAACUCUCAGGAGAGAAGCGUCCUCAUGCAACAGAUGGUGAUUAACACAGAUAACUGGCCAAUGUGCAGAGAAUAAGAUGCUGCAGAGUGCUUAUCCUUGAAGAGGACGCCUGUAUCAAAGCUCUGCCUCCUAGGCUCAGGGAUCAUCACAGAAGAGGGAACAGAAAGAUUGUACAAGCCAAAGGUGGUGGAUGACCACAAGAAAACAGUUUUCCAGACAGCUGGUCAGUUACUCAUAUGAACUCAUAGCAUGCACA